UGGGCUGGGGCUCAGCGGUGGAGUGCUCGCCUGUCACGUGGGAGGCCCUGGGUUUGAUCCUCAACACCACAU
Molecule: transfer RNA, 72 nt
Filed under: Marmota monax (woodchuck)
Lineage: Eukaryota; Metazoa; Chordata; Mammalia; Rodentia; Sciuridae
Description: tRNA.Asp
Source: RNAcentral